ACAUGUAAGGGUGAUCUGGCUUGAUGACAUCUUUCACCCCAAUGAUCGCCAAGGUUGAUUCGGCCGACCUGGCUGGCUAGGCGGGCGUCCCCUUCCUCCGACACGGCUCCGUGUGCGUCCUUCCUGAAGCCGUGCAUUCUGUGCAAGAGGACAACCUUCCCUGAUAGCUGAGCACCAUUUCCUCAGUGAAAGACAUACAAGGAGCUGCCCUCCUCCGCUAGAUCCUCCAAACAAGUUCUCAAAAUAAAAAAUUAGAAAGAGAUGGGGAUAUAGCUCAGAGCAAAGACCCU
Fukomys damarensis (Damara mole-rat) is the source of this 290-nucleotide unclassified non-coding RNA. Its record names the gene 7SK. It matches the Rfam family "7SK RNA". From Rfam's summary of the family: 7SK was discovered as an abundant small nuclear RNA in the mid-70s but a possible function has only recently been suggested. Two independent studies have found that 7SK RNA binds the CDK9/cyclin T complex (known as elongation factor P-TEFb). Lineage: Eukaryota; Metazoa; Chordata; Mammalia; Rodentia; Bathyergidae. The record is from Ensembl.